AUUGAACGCUGGCGGCAGGCCUAACACAUGCAAGUCGAACGGUAACAGGAAGCAGCUUGCUGCUUUGCUGACGAGUGGCGGACGGGUGAGUAAUGUCUGGGAAACUGCCCGAUGGAGGGGGAUAACUACUGGAAACGGUAGCUAAUACCGCAUAACGUCGCAAGACAAAAGAGGGGGACCUUAGGGCCUCUUGCCAUCGGAUGUGCCCAGAUGGGAUUAGCUAGUAGGUGGGGUAACGGCUCACCUAGGCGACGAUCCCUAGCUGGUCUGAGAGGAUGACCAGCCACACUGGAACUGAGACACGGUCCAGACUCCUACGGGAGGCAGCAGUGGGGAAUAUUGCACAAUGGGCGCAAGCCUGAUGCAGCCAUGCCGCGUGUAUGAAGAAGGCCUUCGGGUUGUAAAGUACUUUCAGCGGGGAGGAAGGGAGUAAAGUUAAUACCUUGGCUCAUUGACGUUACCCGCAGAAGAAGCACCGGCUAACUCCGUG
Molecule: ribosomal RNA, 490 nt
Filed under: uncultured bacterium
Lineage: Bacteria
Description: partial 16S ribosomal RNA
Rfam family: Bacterial small subunit ribosomal RNA
Source: RNAcentral